UGUAGUAAUUUCAUAUAUCUCCAUUUUGAAUUUUCAAGCUCUUUUUUUUGCAUAUAUUUCUUCCAUGAGGUAAUUAUUCUAUUUAAGUUGUAUCUGACAUUAAAUAUUAAUACAUGGAUUUUAAACUAUAGUUCGCUACGAUUUAGAAUUCUAGAUUUUAUUCUUUAUUUUUUUAUCAGAGUAAUUUCAUAACUACGGGCUAAGAUUCACAAACAAUAAAUGUAAAGAAGUAGAGAAUUUAAAAUUCGAAUUUCGAUUUCUUCAAUAAUCUACCAAUUGAACAACCUUCACCGGACUAAUUCUAAUUCAUUCUUUUAGUCAAAAAAAAUAAAUUCUAAUUCAUUCUAGUAGACUCAAACUUGUUGCAAAAUUCUCAAGUUUUAUGUGCUACUCUAUAUAUCAUUAAGUAUUGGAAAACUUUUCACUAACAAAUUUACUAUAAUAAUCACCUUAUUUUAUGUCAUGUCAUUUUUUAAAAUUGAUUACCGUUUUACUGUGUAAAACAAACCUCUACACAUGAAAAUAUUCAUUCUAAAAAGUGAUAAAUUAUCAUUUGUCUAAUUUCUCAUUUUCUUUUUACAUGCCACUUCAUUAUUUUCAUGUUAUUUUGUGCAAAUGAGUCACAAGAAAAAAAAAAUGAGCCACUAAAGAGUGUGGUUGAAAGAUACAAUUGAUUUGUUUUAACUAAACUAUAUUUAAGUAGAAAUGUGUUUUAGUUUUAUAAGUUUAACUCAAGUGAAAAUGUCGAAAGUAUUAGGUUCGAUAUUUUUCACCGUUACUAUGUGUGUGUUUGGUUUAGCGGUGACUAGAAUUGAGUUUGGUAGAAUUGAGUUUGGAGAAUUGAGUUUGAGUAAAAGUAAGUUGAAUGUAAAGUAAUUUAUGUUUGGAUAUGUUCGCAAGAAGUGAUUUUGUAUAAAUAUGUUGUUUGGAUUUUUAUGUCAAAAUUGCUUUUGAGUGUGUAAAUGGUCAAAAUGGGUUUUAACAUAUUUGUUUAUAUAUAUUGAUCAAUUUUUUUUAUUCAAUUUUAAACAAUUAUUUAAAUUUAUGUUGUAUAAUUUUAUAAAUAUUUUCAAAUUUAAUAAAUAGAAAGAUUACCCAUUGGUUAAUAAAAAAAAUUAACAAACAAUUAUUUUGGGUAGUAACAAACAAUUAUUCGUAAAAAAAUAAACAAUUUGUAACUAACCAAAAGGAAAAACAAUUUUUAAGUAAAAAAAUAAUUCUUGUUUUAUUUUACUUUAUAUUUAAUGAUGGGGCUUUGGAUUUAACAGUUAAAUGGAACGGGUCAAUAAAGCCCAAGUUCUCAUCUCUAACCUUGAGGCAGCCGCACUGUAGCAAAUAAACAAUAAAAUACCAUGAAGAAAAUAGUUGAAUCAGGAAAAUAAGUGGCAUAAUUGAUUUUGCAAGCAACGAUUUAUCAGUAGAGUCCCUACAAUUCUUGUUCUCUUUGACAUAUUUCCUCUUGAACAACAAAUCAGGACGAACAAAAAGGGUAAUAAGGGAAGAAGGAUUGGAAAAGAUAAAGUAAAACUCAGAAUCAAUUAAAGUAGACGCAGAAGCUCCGAAUUGCAGCUUCAGGUUCAACGUGAGUCUGAGAUAGAAUCAAUUUUUAUUGUAUUUAAACCAAACAUAAAGUUUUGUUGGGAAACCACGUUUGACCUUUCAAACACACGUUUGGGGUGUUUAAACGUGAAACCAAACACAUACUAUGAUUCAAACUAAGAAUCUCAUCUUUGUGUGCUUGAGUUUUCAAUGAUAUUUGCCACUCCGACUACAUUUCGAAAAAAGGUAGAUAUUUUCAGAGAGAAUCAAUUUUGUUUUGAUUAUGCAAAAAAUUUGAUUGUUACAUGGAACUUGGUUGUGAUAGAUUGUGCUGAUAGAUGGUAGCAUGCUCAAGCUUAGGAUGGUGAGGAAAUUAGUCCUCUGUCAUUUGAAGAAGUCGUGUGGCAAGAUGAUGAAGACAAGAAUCUCAAUCUCCAAGCGUGAGUCGCAACUCAGUUGAUUCGUUGGUGCGUG
This 2013-nucleotide long non-coding RNA is filed under the name Trifolium pratense (red clover). Its description in RNAcentral is "long non-coding RNA (TPRA_LNC002184)". The record is from RNAcentral. Lineage: Eukaryota; Viridiplantae; Streptophyta; Magnoliopsida; Fabales; Fabaceae.